RNAcentral lists this ribosomal RNA (813 nucleotides) under Triticum aestivum (bread wheat). Its description in RNAcentral is "partial small subunit ribosomal RNA". The record is from RNAcentral. Lineage: Eukaryota; Viridiplantae; Streptophyta; Magnoliopsida; Poales; Poaceae.
UGUUUUAUCUGCCAACAAAAUCACAAGGUUAACAACUAUGCAGCCUGGUCUAAGGUACAACUCACUGCAGCUUUCUUUGGAAGUGGAGCUCAAGGGCUUGGUUUUUGCCAUGUUGAUGUGCCCAUAGCUAAGGAGUCAAAAUGGUUGAACUUUCAAAAUUGCGCUAUGGUGAAUAUUCUGAAAGGAGAAGUGGACUGCUCCAAACUGAUGGAACUCUUAACUGCAACAUUCUGCAAGACUAGACAAUGGCCUUGGCAAAUCAGGAGGCUGUGCAGUAAGACCCUUUUGGUCAGGUUUCCCCCUUGGAAGAAAGUGGAAGAUCUUAUUGAGUUGCCUGGGUUUUCCCUCCCUCAAGAUGUGAAUGUCACCCUAACUGAAUGGAAGGGUGGGUGUGAACCUUUUGGGGAACUGAUUGAAGCUUGGGUUCUGAUUGAGGGCAUUCCUCCUAAGUGGUGCACAUGGAAAGUUUUUGCUCAAAUUGCUUCCCCUUUUGGGGUGUUAACUAAUGUUGACUGGAAUGGCAUGUUCAGGAGUUUCUUUGAAAAUGUCAGAAUUAAAACUGCCUGUAGAGAUCCUACUAAGAUACCCUUUGAGAGGCUGAUUGAGAUGAAGAAGAAACUAUUCCUGCUGGGCUUUACUGUUGAGGGCUUUGAACAAGUGGGUGGAGUGGACUCUGUCAUUGAUAUAUAUGAUGAUGAGGAUGGUGAUGAGGAAGAAGAGCCGAAGAGGAUCAAACAGAAGAGGGCAGAGAGGCUCAUGGAGAACAUACAUCUAAUGGUUCAGGAUAUGGUGGUCUGGCUAUUGAUGAGCUAG